AAUUAAAAGGGGAAUGGAAACAAGGGAGAGAAAUAAAGUAUACAAACAUUAGCAAAAAGAAAAUUCCAAAUUUCUGUGCGUGAGAUGAUGAUCCAAGAUUAGGUUUUUUGGUUAUCAAACUUGGCUGCAUUGUAGCUUAUAGGAAAAAGAACAAGAGGAAGAAAUUCAAUAAUGACCCAAGUCGAGUUCUUGUUCCACCUUACUUCGUAGGUUUAUUUGCUUGAGUGAAGACCUUUUUGAUAAAAGAGAUGUACUAGUACAUGAGAACUUCCCUUCGUGUGUGGUAAAUGGUACCAGAAAUUCUUGGUUCACUAUUGCAUCAUUGUUCUAAGACCAAGGCAUUCCAUUAUGGACUCUCUCUUCAUGCAGCUGCAAUCAAGUCAGGCUUACAAGGUGAUGUUCUCAUAUCCAAUCACAUCCUCAACAUGUAUGCCAAGUGUGGAAAUAUUAACUUUGCCAGUCAGAUUUUUAAUGAGAUGUCCAAAAGAAAUCUCGUUACCUGGUCAGCCAUGAUCGCUGGUUAUGAUCAAGAUGGUAAACACCUCAUGGCUAUCAGCCUCUACUCCCAAAUGCCACUAGAGCCCAAUGAAUUUGUCCUUGCUAGUGCUCUUAGUUCAUGUGCUAACCUCUUGGCCUUGAAACUUGGUAGACAAAUACAUUCCCAGUCUAUCAAAUUAGGCUGUUCAUCCAUUUCGUUUGUGUCCAACUCUCUGAUCUCAAUGUACAUGAAAAAUGGUCAAUGUAGUGACGCUCUAUCAGUUUUUGCAUUGACACCCACUCCCACUGAUGUCUCUUACAACACAAUCAUAAUGGGUUUGGUAGAAAGUAAUCAAAGAGAGAAAGCAUUUGAAGUCUACAAAAGUAUGUGCCAACAAGGGUUGGUUCCGGACCGCUUUACCUUUGUUGGCUUAUUAGGAACCUGCAAUACUGCACAUGAUUUGGGGAAAGGAAUGCAAUUGCAUAGCCAAACAAUCAAGCUCAAUCUUGAUGGGACCGCCUUUAUAGGCAAUAUAAUAAUGACAAUGUACUCAAAUUUGAACUUGUUAAAUGAAGCUGACAAAAUUUUCAGAUCAAUCAAAGAGAAAGAUGUCAUUUCAUGGAAUACUCUCAUUGCUGCUUGUUCUCGUUGUGAUGAUCAUUCUAAGGCCUUGGUUGUUUUUAGAGAGAUGGUUGAAUAUUUUGAUGGAGGGCCUGAUGAGUUUACUUAUGCUAGUCUGCUUUCUGCAUGUGCUGGCAUGGGUUCGAUGCAAUUUGGGCAGCAAAUACAUGCUCAUCUUAUUAGAAAAAGCUCAAGUGUAGAUAUUGGUGUUGUCAAUGCCCUUGUGAACAUGUAUGCUAAAUGUGGCUGUAUCCAGUAUGCAUAUACAACUUUUAGGCUAAUGAUUUCUCGUAACCUUGUCUCAUGGAAUAGUGUCAUUGCUGGAUUUGCUAACCAUGGCCACGGAAAAAAAGUUAUAAAAUUAUUCGAGGAGAUGAAGAGUGUUGGUUUAAAGCCUGAUUCUGUCACAUUUCUCGGACUUCUAGUCGCUUGCAAUCAUGCAGGGCUUGUAGAUGAGGGCCUAUAUUACUUCAAUACCAUGAACGAGAUUUAUGGGGUUACUCCCGACAUUGAACAUUUCUCUUGCCUCAUUGAUUUACUAGGACGAGCUGGGAGACUGAAAGAUGCUGAAGAAUACAUGCAAAGGUACCCCUUUGGGCAUGAUUCAGUUGUUUUAGGUUGCUUACUUUCAGCUUGUCGGCUGCAUGGUGAUGUUGUAAUUGGGGAAAGAAUGGCUAAGAAGCUCCUACAGCUUCAGCCAGUUUCUACUUCGCCUUAUGUUUUGUUAUCAAACUUAUAUGCUUCAGACGAGAGGUGGGAUAGUGUAGCAGAGGCAAGAAAAAUGCUGAAGAGUUGUGGUUUAAAGAAGGAGGCAGGUCAUAGUCUCAUUGAAGUGAAGGGAUCUGUUGAGAAGUUCACAAUUGGCAAUUUUGCGAACUCGAGGAUUGAGGAAAUCGUGAAUGUGCUUGGAACUUUAGGCUGUGGAUGGGAUGAAGAAAUUAUCCUCCUUGAUUCAGCAUAGGAAAGGCAGAUCUGUUCCCACUGCUUCAGCACUAUUGCGAACAUUAAGCUCGGCAUGUACGAAGGAUUUCUGAAAUGACAGAUUUUACUGAACUAACAAAGUCUGACAGGUCGAGUUUUGUGACUGCAAUCACCCUAUGCUUUGGUAACAGCUGAGUUUGUUGCCCUCAUUCUUUAGGGAUGGAUUUGGCAUUUUGAUCCCCACUGACUGAAAUUUUCCUCUUUAAGGUUUCACAAUUUGAUCCUACUGA
This is an RNA transcript of Solanum verrucosum, 2310 nucleotides long. It is a transcript of the gene named pentatricopeptide repeat-containing protein At4g33170-like, with no coding region annotated. The transcript is spliced from 4 exons. The record is from RefSeq and is a predicted model, not a curated record. Lineage: Eukaryota; Viridiplantae; Streptophyta; Magnoliopsida; Solanales; Solanaceae.